AUACGGGGGGUGCAAGCGUUAUUCGGAUUUAUUGGGCGUAAAGGGCGCGUAGGCGGCUUGGAAAGUCAGAUGUGAAAGCCCGGGGCUCAACCCCGGAAGUGCAUUUGAAACUAUCAGGCUUGAGUAUGGGAGAGGGAAGUGGAAUUCCUGGUGUAGAGGUGAAAUUCGUAGAUAUCAGGAGGAACACCGGUGGCGAAGGCGACUUCCUGGACCAAUACUGACGCUGAAGCGCGAAGGCGUGGGGAGCAAACAGGAUUAGAAACCCUUGUAGUCC
Molecule: ribosomal RNA, 274 nt
Filed under: uncultured bacterium
Lineage: Bacteria
Description: partial 16S ribosomal RNA
Rfam family: Bacterial small subunit ribosomal RNA
Source: RNAcentral